GAUGAACGCUGGCGGCGUGCCUAAUACAUGCAAGUCGAGCGAACGGACGAGAAGCUUGCUUCUCUGAUGUUAGCGGCGGACGGGUGAGUAACACGUGGAUAACCUACCUAUAAGACUGGGAUAACUUCGGGAAGCCGUAGCUAAUACCGGAUAAUAUUUUGAACCGCAUGGUUCAAAAGUGAAAGACGGUCUUGCUGUCACUUAUAGAUGGAUCCGCGCUGCAUUAGCUAGUUGGUAAGGUAACGGCUUACCAAGGCAACGAUGCAUAGCCGACCUGAGAGGGUGAUCGGCCACACUGGAACUGAGACACGGUCCAGACUCUUACGGGAGGCAGCAGUAGGGAAUCUUCCGCAAUGGGCGAAAGCCUGACGGAGCAACGCCGCGUGAGUGAUGAAGGUCUUCGGAUCGUAAAACUCUGUUAUUAGGGAAGAACAUAUGUGUAAGUAACUGUGCACAUCUUGACGGUACCUAAUCAGAAAGCCACGGCUAACUACGUG
Molecule: ribosomal RNA, 497 nt
Filed under: uncultured bacterium
Lineage: Bacteria
Description: partial 16S ribosomal RNA
Rfam family: Bacterial small subunit ribosomal RNA
Source: RNAcentral